GUAAGUAAUCAUGAACAGAAUGUUAAUAGAAAUAUGAGUUAUAAGGGUCAUUCUAAUGAGGUAUCAAAUGGGAAUAAGCGAGAUGUUUUUAGAAAGCAGACGGAUAAUCUGUGAUAUAAAGUGCCAAAGAACUUGGCUGAACUGUGUUUGUGUAGUAAUGUUUUGUGGAAGGUAGAAUGUAUAACUUGUGAUAUUGAAUAUUUAACUCAAAGCAUUUCUAACCAAAAUGUUUACGGAAUGGUUUCAUUUCACCUGAAUGUUUACAAUAAAAUGAAAAAAGAGAUAAAUGAAUUGGAAAAGAAAUUGUUAAGCCAAAAAAACCCAGGACUUAAAUAUUUAAAACAUUCAAAGCAUAUAUACAUAUACACGUGUGUAUAUAUGUGUAUAUGUGUGUAUAUAUAUACACACACAUAAUGUGAAUGAGUGUUUGUUUGGAGGAGAACAGUAAUGGUGUGGCAAACCAACCAUUUGAUAAGGAGAUUAGUGUGGGGGUAAACCAGAAAUUCCCAGCUCUCUCAAUAGAAGCCCAGAAUAGAGAUAGCAUGAUUCCAGGAAAACACUAGGACUAAAGGAAACACGGAAAAUGAGAUGUAAUGAAGCAAGACUGUAAAUGUGUGCUCUUCUUCAAG
RNAcentral lists this long non-coding RNA (629 nucleotides) under Homo sapiens (human). RNAcentral's name for it is "HSALNT0271818". The record is from RNAcentral. Lineage: Eukaryota; Metazoa; Chordata; Mammalia; Primates; Hominidae.